GCAGGCCUAACACAUGCAAGUCGAGCGGUAGCACAGAGAGCUUGCUCUCGGGUGACGAGCGGCGGACGGGUGAGUAAUGUCUGGGAAGCUGCCUGAUGGAGGGGGAUAACUACUGGAAACGGUAGCUAAUACCGCAUAAUGUCGCAAGACCAAAGUGGGGGGCCUUCGGGCCUCAUGCCAUCAGAUGUGCCCAGAUGGGAUUAGCUAGUAGGUGGGGUAACGGCUCACCUAGGCGACGAUCCCUAGCUGGUCUGAGAGGAUGACCAGCCACACUGGAACUGAGACACGGUCCAGACUCCUACGGGAGGCAGCAGUGGGGAAUAUUGCACAAUGGGCGCAAGCCUGAUGCAGCCAUGCCGCGUGUGUGAAGAAGGCCUUCGGGUUGUAAAGCACUUUCAGCGGGGAGGAAGGCGUUAAGGUUAAUAACCUUGGCGAUUGACGUUACCCGCAGAAGAAGCACCGGCUAACUCCGUGCCAGCAGCCGCGGUAAUACGGAGGGUGCAAGCGUUAAUCGGAAUUACUGGGCGUAAAGCGCACGCAGGCGGUCUGUCAAGUCGGAUGUGAAAUCCCCGGGCUCAACCUGGGAACUGCAUUCGAAACUGGCAGGCUAGAGUCUUGUAGAGGGGGGUAGAAUUCCAGGUGUAGCGGUGAAAUGCGUAGAGAUCUGGAGGAAUACCGGUGGCGAAGGCGGCCCCCUGGACAAAGACUGACGCUCAGGUGCGAAAGCGUGGGGAGCAAACAGGAUUAGAUACCCUGGUAGUCCACGCCGUAAACGAUGUCGAUUUGGAGGUUGUGCCCUUGAGGCGUGGCUUCCGGAGCUAACGCGUUAAAUCGACCGCCUGGGGAGUACGGCCGCAAGGUUAAAACUCAAAUGAAUUGACGGGGGCCCGCACAAGCGGUGGAGCAUGUGGUUUAAUUCGAUGCAACGCGAAGAACCUUACCUGGUCUUGACAUCCACAGAACUUUCCAGAGAUGGAUUGGUGCCUUCGGGAACUGUGAGACAGGUGCUGCAUGGCUGUCGUCAGCUCGUGUUGUGAAAUGUUGGGUUAAGUCCCGCAACGAGCGCAACCCUUAUCCUUUGUUGCCAGCGGUUCGGCCGGGAACUCAAAGGAGACUGCCAGUGAUAAACUGGAGGAAGGUGGGGAUGACGUCAAGUCAUCAUGGCCCUUACGACCAGGGCUACACACGUGCUACAAUGGCAUAUACAAAGAGAAGCGACCUCGCGAGAGCAAGCGGACCUCAUAAAGUAUGUCGUAGUCCGGAUUGGAGUCUGCAACUCGACUCCAUGAAGUCGGAAUCGCUAGUAAUCGUAGAUCAGAAUGCUACGGUGAAUACGUUCCCGGGCCUUGUACACACCGCCCGUCACACCAUGGGAGUGGGUUGCAAAAGAAGUAGGUAGCUUAACCUUCGGGAGGGCGCUUACCACUUUGUGAUUCAUGACUGGGGUGAAG
RNAcentral lists this ribosomal RNA (1451 nucleotides) under uncultured organism. Its description in RNAcentral is "16S ribosomal RNA". It matches the Rfam family "Bacterial small subunit ribosomal RNA". The record is from RNAcentral.